UUAUAUUGCAGGUAAGGGUACUUACGCUGUAUAUCUGUGAUGUUACUGAAUGAAAGUUUAAGCGUUAUCUAAGAACGCCAGCCACAGAGACCACCGUUUUGGUGGUAUUUUUUUUGA
Leptotrichia buccalis is the source of this 117-nucleotide non-coding RNA. Lineage: Bacteria; Fusobacteriati; Fusobacteriota; Fusobacteriia; Fusobacteriales; Leptotrichiaceae. The record is from Rfam.